CCUUACGGGCGGUGUGUGCAAUUGCAGUUGAUACUGCGUCGCUUGAGUGCACACAGGGAUGUUGGAAUUCAUGGUGUAGCGGUGAAAUGCUUAGAUAUCAUGAAGAACUCCGAUCGCGAAGGCAUAUGUCCGGAGUGCAACUGACGCUGAGGCUCGAAAGUGUGGGUAUCAAACAGGAUUAGAUACCCUGGUAGUCCACACAGUAAACGAUGAAUACUCGCGGUUGGUUCGUUAGAGUCAGCCGCCAAGCGAAAGCGUUAAGUAUUCCACCUGGGGAGUACGCCGGCAACGGUGAAACUCAAAGGAAUUGACGGGGGCCCGCACAAGCGGAGGAACAUGUGGUUUAAUUCGAUGAUACGCGAGGAACCUUACCCGGGCUUGAACUGCCAGUGACUCAUGCAGAGACGCAUGUUUCUUCGGACACUGGCGGAGGUGCUGCAUGGUUGUCGUCAGCUCGUGCCGUGAGGUGUCGGCUUAAGUGCCAUAACGAGCGCAACCCUUCUCCCUGUUUGCCAUCGGGUUAAGCCGGGCACUCCAGGGACACUGCCAUCGUAAGAUGUGAGGAAGGUGGGGAUGACGUCAAAUCAGCACGGCCCUUACGUCCGGGGCUACACACGUGUUACAAUGGGCGGUACAGAAAGCAGCUACCCCGCGAGGGGAUGCCAAUCUCAAAAACCGUUCUCAGUUCGGACUGGAGUCUGCAACCCGACUCCACGAAGCUGGAUUCGCUAGUAAUCGCGCAUCAGCCAUGGCGCGGUGAAUACGUUCCCGGGCCUUGCACUCACCGCCCGUA
Molecule: ribosomal RNA, 793 nt
Filed under: uncultured bacterium
Lineage: Bacteria
Description: bacterial SSU rRNA
Rfam family: Bacterial small subunit ribosomal RNA
Source: RNAcentral